Molecule: long non-coding RNA, 943 nt
Organism: Silurus meridionalis
Lineage: Eukaryota; Metazoa; Chordata; Actinopteri; Siluriformes; Siluridae
Exons: 7
Source: RefSeq, a predicted model, not a curated record
AUCAAGUAAUGGUGAGGACAGGUACGAUACGAUACACACCACUAUCAGGUAAUGGUGAUACACACAUCACUAUCAGGUGACGGUGAGGACAGGUACGAUACGAUACACACACAUCACUAUCAGGUGACGGUGAGGACAGGUACGAUACGAUACACACCACUAUCAGGUAAUGGUGAUACACACAUCACUAUCAGGUGACGGUGAGGACAGGUACGAUACGAUACACACCACUAUUAGGUAACGGUGAGGACAGGUACGAUACGAUACACACACAUCACUAUCAGGUGACGGUGAGGACAGGUACGAUACGAUACACACCACUAUUAGGUAACGGUGAGGACAGGUACGAUACGAUACACACCACUAUUAGGUAACGGUGAGGACAGGUACGAUACGAUACACACCACUAUUGGGUAACGGUGAGGACAGGUACGAUACGAUACACACACAUCACUAUCAGGUGACGGUGAGGACAGGUACGAUACGAUACACAUCACUAUCAGGUAACGGUGAGGACAGGUACGAUACGAUACACACAUCACUAUCAGGUGACGGUGAGGACAGGUACGAUACGAUACACACACAUCACUAUCAGGUGACGGUGAGGACAGGUACGAUAUGAUACACACAUCACUAUCAGGUGACGGUGAGGACAGGUACGAUACGAUACACACAUCACUAUCAGGUGACGGUGAGGACAGGUACGAUACGAUACACACACAUCACUAUCAGGUAACGGUGAGGACAGGUACGAUACGAUACACACACACACAUCACUAUCAGGUAACGGUGAGGACAGGUACGAUACGAUACACACACACAUCACUAUCAGGUAACGGUGAGGACAGGUACGAUACGAUACACACCACUAUCAGGUAAUGGUGAGGACAGGUACGAUACGAUGCGAUACACACUCUUCACAAUUGGUGCCUUCGUUUUUCUC